Long non-coding RNA from Scylla paramamosain (green mud crab), 1276 nucleotides. RefSeq lists it as uncharacterized. The record is from RefSeq and is a predicted model, not a curated record. The transcript has 2 exons. Lineage: Eukaryota; Metazoa; Arthropoda; Malacostraca; Decapoda; Portunidae.
UUGUGCUUCCUGGUCAGGGAGCGGGAAAGAUGAAGGCGUUUUCUUGUGUUUUAAAAUUGUGUUUGUGUUUUGUGCUUCCUGGCCAGGGGGCGGGAAAGAUAAAGGCGUUUUCUUGUGUUUUAAAAUUGUCUUUGUGUUUUGUGCUUCCUGGCCAGGGGGCGGGAAAGGUAAAGGCGUUUUCUUGUGUUUUAAAAUUGUGUUUGUGUUUUGUGCUUCCUGGUCUGGCGGCGGUAACGUUGAUGCAGUGAGGCGUACUUUGCCGCUCCUCUCACCUCCGUCUCCUGGGUAUCUGAACGUGUGAACAUUUGAACUUUUUAUUUAUGAGCAACUGAGCAUGAAUACCUGAACAUUUUUUGACGAUCAAUUGAAUAUGUGAAAAUCUUAUGAAUAUUUGAAUAUCUUACGCACGACUAACUCAACAUUUGAAUAUUUUACCCUUGAACAGUUAAAUAUAAACAUUUGAACAUUUUGCUUACCGCCAUCUUAGCUUUUUCUUUUACAACUCUCAUUUGGUACUGGCAUCUUCUGUGGGCCUUUUUUUCCUCUCUCUCUCUCUCUCUCUCUCUAUCCCCAGCUCGUCACUUGCAACACCAGUAGAGUUUUCAUCUUUAUCACAACCUCACAACGCAUGGCAGCAAAACUCACGCCAGUAAAUCCUUCGAAACACGACAGGAAGUAAAUAAAAAUGGAGAGGUUGUGUAUUUUUGCUUUUUGUAUUUUGUCGGUCUCCAGGAAGUGCGCGGUUGUAAUGUUUCCCCUGCGAUAUUUUUCUAAUGAGUUGCGUGGCUGCGGGCGUGGAUGGAAGCAGCGAGGCGGGACGAGAGAGGAAGUGAGAGAAAGUGUGAGGAUGAUGCCCGGAAGGGAUGGAAGUGGAGGUGCUGGAAAUACGGGCUCCCAGUGAAUGUACAUAUUGUUUCGCCCUGAAUGGAAUGGAAUGGAAUGAAGUGAGCGGAGUGGUGAAUGAAUUGUAUAAGAAGUGUGGUAGUUAAAUACUGCAGCGCAAUGAAUAUAUAGUAAAUGUUUCCUUGCAGUGAAUGAAUAGAAUAGAGCACAGGGAGUUGUGUGAAGGAAAAUUGUGAAUGAAUAAAACGCAGCACAGGAAGUUGUUUGAAGGAAAAUUGGUGAGUUUCAUAAGGUAAGUGAUGAAUGCAAAGGUUAAUACGUGUUGGAAAAGGAGAGCUAUCUUUGCUGAAGGAGAGGAAAAUGUAGACUGGCAGUAUUACAUCGAGUACUUGGAAACGAGAUGUUGCGGAAAGCGGAGAAAAUAUCAGAAAAA